Molecule: ribosomal RNA, 482 nt
Filed under: uncultured bacterium
Lineage: Bacteria
Description: partial 16S ribosomal RNA
Rfam family: Bacterial small subunit ribosomal RNA
Source: RNAcentral
AUUGAACGCUGGCGGCAUGAUUUACACAUGCAAGUCGAACGGUAACAGGCCGCAAGGUGCUGACGAGUGGCGAACGGGUGAGUAAUGCAUCGGAACGUGCCCAGUCGUGGGGGAUAACUACUCGAAAGAGUAGCUAAUACCGCAUACGAUCUAUGGAUGAAAGCGGGGGACCGUAAGGCCUCGCGCGAUUGGAGCGGCCGAUGUCAGAUUAGGUAGUUGGUGGGGUAAAGGCUCACCAAGCCAACGAUCUGUAGCUGGUCUGAGAGGACGACCAGCCACACUGGGACUGAGACACGGCCCAGACUCCUACGGGAGGCAGCAGUGGGGAAUUUUGGACAAUGGGCGCAAGCCUGAUCCAGCAAUGCCGCGUGCAGGAAGAAGGCCUUCGGGUUGUAAACUGCUUUUGUACGGAAAGAAACGGCUCUGGUUAAUACCCGGGGCUAAUGACGGUACCGUAAGAAUAAGCACCGGCUAACUACGUG